UAUUUUUAUAAUUUUUAAAGUGCUGAAAAUAAUUAUUUGCACUAUAGAAGAGUUAGGGAUCCGAAUUGAAAUUUAGACUAUUGGACAUAGAUUAAGUUUUUUGUAGGGCCCGAUGGGCAUUAUAAUUAUUGUUAUGGGCCUGAGACCCUGUGUUGUUGCCUCUGAUUGAGUUUUCUUACAGGGGAUUAAGUCUAGUUAUAGGGAAGACUUUGUCAAAAAAUUUCAACAAGACCUCAGGAACUAUUCUUGCUUCUUUAAAUUAAAUUAAUUGAUUAAUUAUG
Molecule: unclassified non-coding RNA, 281 nt
Filed under: Hevea brasiliensis (rubber tree)
Lineage: Eukaryota; Viridiplantae; Streptophyta; Magnoliopsida; Malpighiales; Euphorbiaceae
Source: RNAcentral